Molecule: ribosomal RNA, 407 nt
Filed under: uncultured bacterium
Lineage: Bacteria
Description: partial 16S ribosomal RNA
Rfam family: Bacterial small subunit ribosomal RNA
Source: RNAcentral
AUUGAACGCUGCCAGCAGGCCUAACACAUGCAAGUCGAGCGGAGCGGCGGAGGGGUGAGGAAUGACUAGGAAUCUGCCUGGUAGUGGGGGAUCACGUCAGGAAACGGGCGCUAAUACCGCAUACUAUCAGAUGAGCCUAGGUCGGAUUAGCUAGUUGGUGGGGUAAAGGCCUACCAAGGCGCCGAUCCGUAACUGGUCUGAGAUGAUGAUCAGUCACACUGGAACUGAGACAAGGUCCAGACUUCGACGGGAGGCAGCAGGGGUGAAUAUUGGAAAAUGGGCGAAAGUCUGAUCCAGCCAUGCCGCCUGUGUGAAGAAUGUAUACGGUUUUUAAAGCCGUUAACGUUAGAUGGCGUUGCCAAUAGAAUAAGCACCGGCUAAAUAAGUUGCAGCAGCCGCGGUAAUAC